GAAGCGGGAGAAGCUGGGCACCCGGAACUGGGAGGGGGGUGAAGAAGCCGGUGGCCGGAGGGCUGCGACGCGCGGUUACCCAACGGGGUAGGCUCCGGAUGGAGAGAGAGCUAGCACAGGAUGGGAAGGAGGGAGUACUGGACCAGGUGGAAAGACCGUCAGGUGCUCCGGGUGCCAGCAGGUGGGAGUACUGAGGCGCUUCAGGCUGCUCUUUCAUCUCGGUUGCCGAUUCAGUUUGGCCUCGAGCCGUUCCCCUAGCUAGCCAAUGCCCCUUUUCCCAACAUUGGAGGCCAGCAGCUCUCCAGGAGCCGACGCCCUGUCCCAUGGAGGCUUAGGGGAAUAAGGGUGAUCCCAGAAUAAAGUCGAAUGUAAUAAAAUGUUGGGGUCCAAUUGACUGCAAUCCCGAACACUCUGCCCAAGAGCUUGGGGGUACCCUUGCCCCGCCCCCCAGCAUCGCUCUUCUCUCCUUUGUCUUUGUGGAGGGUCACCGGUUCCCUUUCACUGAGGCGGCAGCAUCCUGGGGUGGAGAGACCCCUAUAGUCCCUUGAGCUCUGCCUCACCCUCUCCAAUAGUCCACUCUCAGGCCUUACCAAAGACCCCCUCCACCCAUCUAGUUGGCUUUUGUUCCUAGAAAAUGAUGGAGUGGGUGUGGCUGGCCCUGCAGCGUGGACUAUCCUGCGGGCAGAAUAAGGGUGGGGUCCCAGAGGCGGGGCUGUCGGAGGAACAAAGAGCUCACAAAAGCUUGGGAUGUGUUCCGCAAUAGAGCAUUUACAAUCACACUCCAGGCUCUCCCCUUCUCGGGAUUUGGUUCAUCCAUUGUCAAAUAAGGGGAUGGGUUCCAAGGGCAGUCAUCGUCCGGUCCACCGAGAACAUUCUUAUUUUCCAUCGCGGCGGCCAGGAGUUCCCAGACUUGCUGCUGCGGGUAGAGGGACGAGGGACACGCCUAAAUAUUGCAGCAAGGCAAGGUAGAGACCACCGGAGACCCAGGUGCAUUCACCGGGGCGCGUGCGCAGACGCGGAGCACCGAAGGUCCCUUCAAAUCCACACUCUCUAGGCCUUCCCUCCGGAUGAGAAAUGACAGCUCGGGGCACAGCUGCCCGCGUGCUCUUUAGUCAAAAGGUUUACAUGGGUGGGAGCUAGCUUCAGAGCCCUCGUCCUUCCGUAGUCGUGGGGCGUUGUUGGGACCAACCACUCAGGUCACCAUGGAUUCCAGGAAGAGAAUCUGAUCCCAUAAGUAUCUAGUGAUGACUCAAAGCUCCUGGCAACAGCAACUUUCUUACCCAGGGUGAUUCCCCACCUGACCAGUCCUGAGAUGAUGAUGGACAUGCCACACCUGAUCAAGAUCAUCUGCAAGGGCAGCUGGGAAAAGCCUACAGCUGUGCAAACCUCCAACACUUGCUCUCAUUCCCCUUUCUGUAAAACUUCAAAUCAUUCAUUGUUAGCCCCUUAAAGACAGGGCUAAGAACUUGGGUCCUCUUGAUUCUCAGUUGUGGUUACACGGAUUGAAGUUUCUUUCAAGCUUUUCA
Non-coding RNA from Ictidomys tridecemlineatus (thirteen-lined ground squirrel), 1526 nucleotides. NCBI's taxonomy places the organism in Eukaryota, Metazoa, Chordata, Mammalia, Rodentia, Sciuridae. The record is from RefSeq and is a predicted model, not a curated record.